GAGUAAGAAAUUAAAAGAAAGCAACUAUCUUCUGAGAGCUCUUCACACGAUGAAGAAAGAAAGAAAUCUGUCCAUGGGAGCUUUGGAGCAAGAAAACUGACAAACGAUUGAAAAAUUGCAUAGGAGUUAGUAGAGUAGGGAGAAAUAAAACAAAAGAAGCCACCCUUUUAAAUAAAAGGACACACAUCUCUUGGAGGACG
RNAcentral lists this long non-coding RNA (200 nucleotides) under Elaeis guineensis (African oil palm). RNAcentral's name for it is "long non-coding RNA (EGUI_LNC043823)". The record is from RNAcentral. Lineage: Eukaryota; Viridiplantae; Streptophyta; Magnoliopsida; Arecales; Arecaceae.